UACGAAGGGGGCUAGCGUUGCUCGGAAUCACUGGGCGUAAAGCGCACGUAGGCGGAUCUUUAAGUCAGGGGUGAAAUCCUGGAGCUCAACUCCAGAACUGCCUUUGAUACUGGGGAUCUCGAGUCCGGAAGAGGUGAGUGGAAUUCCUAGUGUAGAGGUGAAAUUCGUAGAUAUUAGGAAGAACACCAGUGGCGAAGGCGGCUCACUGGUCCAUUACUGACGCUGAGGUGCGAAAGCGUGGGGAGCAAAGCA
This 252-nucleotide ribosomal RNA is filed under the name uncultured bacterium. Its description in RNAcentral is "partial 16S ribosomal RNA". It matches the Rfam family "Bacterial small subunit ribosomal RNA", at positions 524 to 775 of the family's 1533-position model. The record is from RNAcentral.